AGCCUGCCCGCCUGUCUGCCUGCAUGUCUUCUCUGACAACAUUGAGGCUGUGAGCAAUGCUUUUUCGAAACACUACCGUUUCUGGAUGUUUGUACUUGUGAUUCAACAUGUCAAUGUUAGCUGCCAUCAGGUAGGUAAUCGCAGACUGUCUUUUCUCUGUUAAAUAACACCAAGUAAGGCAACAGACAAAUCUUUUUUCCUUGUCCACAGCUCUAAGACUAAUGCUGAGACCAACUUUAAGCUUGUCUAGGAAAUCGACUUCACUCUUGUAAUUACCGCAGAGACCAGCACCAACAGCCAAGAUGACGGUCGCCAGAAUUCUACCCGCCACUCGUCCAUUCUGGCCUUCUGUUGGUUUCUGCGAGUGGCGUUGAAGGUCUUCGCACUACAACUAACCUUCUUUGACAAUCCUCUGAAAUUCUUUUGCAUUUACAUUCUUAAUUGAAACUUUGUUCUCUGGAUCUUGUCGAGGUGUAUGGAUAACAUAAUGAUUUCCCAACACUUUGGUAAGAAAAGGGGCAAGUCCUAAUGAGAGUAAAUCUAACUAGUGGCUUCUGUAGAUCUUUUAUUUUUUAACUCUCAGUCGAACCAACUGAGCAUGGCUUCACCCCGACCCCUUGUCAUCUUUGUGUGUGUGUGUGCAAUGGAAAAUUGUUUAUAAUAUAUAAACAGUCGGCAAAGAAGCUCAGUCCUUCUUAUCUGCUGAAGCCACAAUCUCGUUGCCUCACUACAACAAAACUGCCUCGUCUGUUUAUUUCUAUAAUAAACAGUUGCAGCCAGCACUACUAACACAGUUAUUAAUAGCGACAUCACAGUCGGUGCCAUUACUUUGGUAAUGAGGAAAAUAUAGCAAAACUAUGUCAUUUCUUGUUUAAGCUUUUCACUCUUCUAUAAAUUUCUUCUCUAACAUAUUGUGUAACUGAAAGAAUCAACAACAUUGCUAUUUGUAUUCAAUGGUUUUGUAUUAUUGGAACAUCAGAUUUUAAUUUGUCGUUUCUGCCAGUAUUUUUGGUGUCAAUUAGAAGAGGACUUCUCUAUCAUUCACGGAUGUUGCCAGUUGCUUUAUUUCAAUAUGUUGUUUAUACAGUGUUAACAUAUAUAUUCCACACACACUUGACACUGUCCCAUCAACACACCCAGCGCAUAUGAAAUUUCUAUAUUUUAUUUACGUAAGACGACGAUGACGACGACGACAUGUCAGGCUAAAAUAAGUUGCUCUAAAAUGCUUACCAAGUGUUUUUAUUUGCUUCUUCACCAUCGUAAUUCACUUAUGGUUUAAUCAUUGCAACUUUAAUUAUUAUCGUUUUGCUUUCUAGUUGAAAGCAAACCUGAUUUCUUUGUUAAUGUUAUCUCUUUUAUUUUUUAGUCGAAAGUGUUUUAACCAAUCUCGAUUACUAUAUUAUUAUUUGCUGAGUAAACCAUUUCGACGAUUGUAGUUAGAGAGAGGGCAUCGAUUAUGAUGAUGAUGAUGAUGAAUGUAAUAAUUUUGUCCGAGACACGACAGCGAGAACAAUUAUAUAUUUUGAUUACUGUUCUAUUAUUAUUAUUAUUAAUUUCUUGUCUUUAUUCCAAUAAGGGGAAAUGGUGGUUAUAUUGGUAAUGUUGAGUGGCAUUGAGGAGAAAAACCCUCCAAAAACCAUCUAAGUACGUUUUUAUGGUACAAACAUCAUCAUCAUCAUCACCAAUUGAAGGAGUCGAGUCCGUCUAGUCAGACAGCUGCCCGCCCAGAGGAAAUUAUUCACAAUUCAAACUUGGCUCAUCAAAAAAAACAAAACAAAAAAUUAAUUUGUCAUUACACAACCUUUUUCUUUUCUAGUUUUCUGAUGUUUUGGGGGACUUGUUUUUGUUUCCUGUCGAAAGUUAGAAAAUGAAUUUCAUAUCCCCGCUUCUUCCCUUUACAUUCACUCGUUUUUUCUGUUACCAACACUUUUAUAUAGCAAACACUUCUAAUAGAAUCUUUUGAUGAACUUCGCAGCCCCUUUACAAACACAAUUCGUUACCACUUCAUUAGCGGAUCUACCCUGUCUCCCGUCCUAUUUUUUUUUCCAUUCAUUAAACUAUUUUUCUGUUCGUUUCUUUUACUGUCCAUUUCACUCUGUCUUCGUAUCUAAAUAUGUCUGUGUCACUUGUCUGCGUAUUCCUCUACGAUUAUCUUAUAUUAUGCGUGUGAUGUCUGUCAUAUCCAGCCUAACUACCAUAUAUUGAU
Molecule: long non-coding RNA, 2206 nt
Filed under: Octopus vulgaris (common octopus)
Lineage: Eukaryota; Metazoa; Mollusca; Cephalopoda; Octopoda; Octopodidae
Source: RNAcentral